UGUUUUAGUGGCGGACGGGUGAGUAACGCGUGGGCAACCUGCCUUACACCGGGGGAUAACACUUAGAAAUAGGUGCUAAUACCGCAUAACAGGAGAACAUGCAUGUGUUUUCCUUGAAAACCACGGUGGUGUAAGAUGGACCCGCGUCUGAUUAGCUUGUUGGCAGGGUAACGGCCUACCAAGGCGACGAUCAGUAGCCGGCCUGAGAGGGUGGACGGCCACAUUGGGACUGAGACACGGCCCAGACUCCUACGGGAGGCAGCAG
Molecule: ribosomal RNA, 265 nt
Filed under: uncultured bacterium
Lineage: Bacteria
Description: partial 16S ribosomal RNA
Rfam family: Bacterial small subunit ribosomal RNA
Source: RNAcentral